AUUGAACGCUGGCGGCAGGCCUAACACAUGCCAGUCGAACGGUAACAGGAAACAGCUUGCUGUUUCGCUGACGAGUGGCGGACGGGUGAGUCAUGUCUGGGAAACUGCCUGAUGGAGGGGGAUAACUACUGGAAACGGUAGCUAUUACCGCAUAACGUCGCAAGACCAAAGAGGGGGACCCUCGGGCCUCUUGCCAUCGGAUGUGCCCAGAUGGGAUUAGCUUGUUGGUGGGGUAACGGCUCACCAAGGCGACGAUCCCUAGCUGGUCUGAGAGGAUGACCAGCCACACUGGAACUGAGACACGGUCCAGACUCCUACGGGAGGCAGCAGUGGGGAAUAUUGCACAAUGGGCGAAAGCCUGAUGCAGCCAUGCCGCGUGUAUGAAGAAGGCCUUCGGGUUGUAAAGUACUUUCAGCGGGGAGGAAGGGAGUAAAGUUAAUACCUUUGCUCAUUGACGUUACCCGCAGAAGAAGCACCGGCUAACUCCGUG
This 490-nucleotide ribosomal RNA is filed under the name uncultured bacterium. RNAcentral describes it as "partial 16S ribosomal RNA". It matches the Rfam family "Bacterial small subunit ribosomal RNA", at positions 30 to 507 of the family's 1533-position model. The record is from RNAcentral.